CCCUUGCGUCAGCGCGGUGGACACAGAAGGCGCGUGCGGGUUCAGGUUCGCAGAGGGCGGGCGGUGUUAACCAGAAAAACGGACCCGAUGUGUAGCCCCAACCCGGUGGAUCUUUUUAGUGUUGUGUCCGAUUUAAGCAGAAAUCUUAAGAACGUGAACCACCGAAUUAUGCAGGCCUGCGAGUUUGAGCGUUGCUUAGAAUCUCUUCCAGUUGCUUGCAGAUGACGUAGGCUUUGUGGGAGCAUCAAUUGAACAAAUUAAUCCAAAUGACCAAAAGCACCUGCUGAGAUCCUGUGGGACGACGUCGUGAGUUCUGACGGAAAGCACAGGGAUGCGGACAGACUCAGCUCCACAACAAAUAUGACAGUGCAAUGUGCCACCUCCUUGUUAAGGACCCUCUACAUGUGGCACAGAGCUCAAAAGCAAAACGCUGGAAUUUGGCUACAAAAAACACAACAAUUGGAGUUGCAUCGUGUUUUCUGAGGUGUCCUACAGACCAAGGUGUAUGGGUGUUCUGCUCGCAUUUGUGCCUGAGCACCAUGUGCAUGCAGUGGCCACAGAAGCAAGAAAAAGGAAUUCAAUCUCCUAGAUCUGGAGUUAGAAGGUUGUGAGCUGCCAUCUAGGUGCUAAGAAUCAAGCCUGGGUUCUCUAGAAGAGCAACGGGUGCUGGUAACCACUGAGCCAUCUCUCCAGUCCCAAGAUCCCUGAACUGUGUCCACUCCAAUGGAUGUGCAAGAAUGGUACAUUGUUUUAAUUUGUAGCUCUCCAAUCAGCACAUCUUCAUUUGCUUAUUUGCCAUCAAUCUGUGUACUCUAAUGAAGGUUCAGUUUAGAACUUUUUCCAAUUUUUAAUCAGGUUGUGUUCUUUUCGUUGUUGUUGUUGUUGUGUGUAGUUUGUUGAGAAAGGGUUUCCUCUGUAGCUCUGUCUG
This is a long non-coding RNA of Myodes glareolus (Bank vole), 928 nucleotides long. RefSeq lists it as uncharacterized. Lineage: Eukaryota; Metazoa; Chordata; Mammalia; Rodentia; Cricetidae. The record is from RefSeq and is a predicted model, not a curated record.